GAACGGUAGUAUGGUGCUUGCACUAUAUGAGAGUGGCGGACGGGUGAGUAACACGUAGAUAAUCUACCCUUGUGUUGGGGAUAGCUUAUGGAAACAUAGGGUAAUACCGAAUACGGUCUUAGAAUCGAUAGGGUUUUAAGAAGAAAGGUGCUACGGCAUCGCACGAGGAGGAGUCUGCGGUAGAUUAGCUAGUUGGUAAGGUAAAGGCUUACCAAGGCGACGAUCUAUAGCCGGCUGAGAGGGUGACGGCACACUGGGACUGAAACGGCCCAGACUCCUACGGAGGCAGCAGCUAAGAAUCUUCCGCAAUGGACGAAAGUCUGACGGAGCGACGCCGCGUGAACGAAGAAGCAGAGAUGUUGUAAAGUUCUUUUAUCAGGAGAAUAAUGAGA
RNAcentral lists this ribosomal RNA (392 nucleotides) under uncultured Spirochaeta sp. RNAcentral's name for it is "bacterial SSU rRNA". It matches the Rfam family "Bacterial small subunit ribosomal RNA", at positions 64 to 454 of the family's 1533-position model. Lineage: Bacteria; Pseudomonadati; Spirochaetota; Spirochaetia; Spirochaetales; Spirochaetaceae. The record is from RNAcentral.